UAAGGAAUAUUGCUCAAUGGGAGAAAUCCUGAAGCAGCAACGCCGCGUGGAGGAUGAAGGGUCUAUGACUUGUAAACUCCUGUAAAGAAGGAAAAAAUUCCCAUUAGAUGGGAGAUGAUGGUACUUCUGGAGUAAGCCCCGGCUAACUACGUGCCAGCAGCCGCGGUAAUACGUAGGGGGCAAGCGUUGUCCGGAUUUACUGGGUGUAAAGAGUGCUCAGGCGGAUUUGUAAGUCAGAGGUGAAAUCUUACAGCUUAACUGUGAAACUGCCUUUGAUACUGCAAGCCUAGAGUAUGGAAGAGAGUGAUGGAAUAUCUGGUGUAGCAGUGAAAUGCGUAGAUAUCAGAUAGAACACCAAUGGCGAAGGCAGUCACUUGGUCCAUUACUGACGCUAAAGCACGAAAGCGUGGGUAGCAAACA
RNAcentral lists this ribosomal RNA (420 nucleotides) under uncultured bacterium. RNAcentral's name for it is "bacterial SSU rRNA". It matches the Rfam family "Bacterial small subunit ribosomal RNA", at positions 355 to 774 of the family's 1533-position model. The record is from RNAcentral.